CAUAGUCCGUCAUCUGCUGCCAUGUGACAAGCAGUUCUGCAGGUGCACUUUAUGGCCCAUUCUCUACCAUGGUUGUUGCUCCUCCUUGGUCUUUUCAUAGGGUCAGGAACACUGGGAGAAGAUACAGUGGGGAAGAUAUCCUUGGGGAGUUGGCCACUUGGCCCCUGGAGGUCCCAGCAGAGCAAGAGGUAGAAAGUGUUACAUGGAGCUCUUGAGAGCGUGUUGCUGUUUUACAACAAGGAUGAACAGACAAACCAGUUCUGGUUUCUGAGACUCAGGGACCCUACAGUGGAUGACUGAACAUUCCCCACCACAGCUACUCUCUUCAGAUCAGCCCCCUGAGGCUGCAGGACUAUAAGCCUAUAAGCCUGGGUAACUCUGCAUACUUCCUCAAUCAUUAUCACCAGGGAUUUCACCCUGCUUGUCUAUGAGAUGCUGUAGGAGUUGAACAUCUUUGCCAGCUCCCAGAUCAUGAAGGAUGGGACCUGCUUCAUCACCCUGGCCUGCUCCCUGGAACAGGCUGGAGAGAAUGUGCAGAACAGCUGGGAGCCUCCUAGUCAUGGGGCAGUUGUGUCCCAUGGGGGGACCACUCUCAGUGUCCCCUGGAUAUCUGGGGAAAGUGAGAGCUAUCACUGCACUGCCAGGAAUCCCACCAGCCAGAGCUCCAGCUCUGUCCUUACCAGACCCCUUUGCUCAGCCUCCUUUGUACCCCACUCCCUGAGGAAAGAAUUUCUUCCUUUUUUGAUUCUGGGAGUUUUGGGGAUUGAAUAGAUUUCACCUGGACAUGGGGAGAAACCAAGAAGAGAAGUACGAGAUGGCGGCCAUCCUGUGAGACACAGAGUUAAAGAAGUUCGCAUGUGGAGUGCUGCCUGAGGCCAGCAUUUCCUGGUGUGAGAGAAGGACAUUGACACUGAUUAAGGCAUAAACCCUAUUUCAUUUACAAACUGAGUUCAAAAUUAUCAGGAAACUGCUAUGUGUCUUCUGUUUAAAAUAAUCUGUUUAUGUUUUAUUGAAGUGUGUUUUUAAGUGUUCAGAAAGAAAAAGGAGCUUAUUUAUUUAAGAAAAAUUGAAUGGAACAUAAAAACAUUGUUAUUGUCACACA
This 1102-nucleotide long non-coding RNA is filed under the name Homo sapiens (human). Its description in RNAcentral is "HSALNT0296176". The record is from RNAcentral. Lineage: Eukaryota; Metazoa; Chordata; Mammalia; Primates; Hominidae.